RNAcentral lists this ribosomal RNA (696 nucleotides) under uncultured bacterium. RNAcentral describes it as "bacterial SSU rRNA". It matches the Rfam family "Bacterial small subunit ribosomal RNA", at positions 32 to 715 of the family's 1533-position model. The record is from RNAcentral.
AACGCUAGCUACAGGCUUAACACAUGCAAGUCGAGGGGAAACGAUAUUGGAAGCUUACUUCCGAUAGGCGUCGACCGGCGCACGGGUGAGUAACGCGUAUCCAACCUGCCCACCACUUGGGGAUAACCUUGCGAAAGUAAGACUAAUACCCAAUGAAAUCUCUAGAAGACAUCUGAAAGAGAUUAAAGAUUUAUCGGUGAUGGAUGGGGAUGCGUCUGAUUAGCUUGUUGGCGGGGUAACGGCCCACCAAGGCAACGAUCAGUAGGGGUUCUGAGAGGAAGGUCCCCCACAUUGGAACUGAGACACGGUCCAAACUCCUACGGGAGGCAGCAGUGAGGAAUAUUGGUCAAUGGGCGAGAGCCUGAACCAGCCAAGUAGCGUGCAGGAAGACGGCCCUAUGGGUUGUAAACUGCUUUUAUAAGGGAAUAAAGUGGGAGUCGUGACUCUUUUUGCAUGUACCUUAUGAAUAAGGACCGGCUAAUUCCGUGCCAGCAGCCGCGGUAAUACGGAAGGUCCGGGCGUUAUCCGGAUUUAUUGGGUUUAAAGGGAGCGUAGGCCGGAGAUUAAGCGUGUUGUGAAAUGUAGAUGCUCAACGUCUGCACUGCAGCGCGAACUGGUUUCCUUGAGUACGCACAAAGUGGGCGGAAUUCGUGGUGUAGCGGUGAAAUGCUUAGAUAUCACGAAGAACUCCGAUUG